CGGCCGCGUCGACCGGCAGGCCUAAUACAUGCUAAGUCGAACGAUACCAGAGGGCUUGCUCUCUGGGAAAGUGGCGCACGGGUGCGUAACGCGUAUGCAACCUACCUUAAUCAGGGGGAUAGCCUCUCGAAAGAGAGAUUAACACCGCAUAAAAUCACAAGCUGGCAUCAGCAAAUGAUCAAAUGUUUAAUAGGAUUAAGAUGGGCAUGCGUGACAAUUAGUUAGUUGGUGAGGUAACGGCUCACCGAAGACGAUGAUGUCUAGGGGAUCUGAGAGGAUGACCCCCACACUGGUACUGAGACACGGACCAGACUCCGUACGGGAGGCAGCAGUAAGGAUAUGGUCAAUGGAGCAACUCUGAACCAGCCAUGCCGCGUGCAGGAAGACGGCCCUACGGGUUGAAACUGCUUUUANACGGGAAUAACCCCGAGUCGUGAUCUGGGUUGAAUGUACUGUAAGAAUAGGACUCGGCUAACUCCGUGCCAGCAGCCGCGGUAAAUCGGAGAUCCGAAGCGUUAUUACCGG
This 525-nucleotide ribosomal RNA is filed under the name uncultured bacterium. RNAcentral's name for it is "bacterial SSU rRNA". It matches the Rfam family "Bacterial small subunit ribosomal RNA", at positions 39 to 535 of the family's 1533-position model. The record is from RNAcentral.